Molecule: long non-coding RNA, 271 nt
Filed under: Homo sapiens (human)
Lineage: Eukaryota; Metazoa; Chordata; Mammalia; Primates; Hominidae
Description: non-protein coding lnc-MDM4-10:1
Source: RNAcentral
CACCUCCCACUGUUCCCCUGCCCAGCUGAGAUGUCAGGCCAGCCCUGCAUUGGCUAUAGGAAAGCUGCUCUGCUGAAGGGGCAGACAAGUUGUGGAUGAGGGCCCAGUGCCAGGCAGGACCGAUCAAGCCCAACUCACCUGCCCUGGCCCUGUUGGGCAGGAAUGGGUGUUACAUAGCUAGAUCUUUAAGCAUCAGAAAGACAGCUACCAGACCCACUAUGGCUGGGAGGUGGCAGGGGAUGGGAAAGGUGGCCCUGUCACCUCCGAGAAG